GAUGAACGCUGGCGGCGUGCCUAAUACAUGCAAGUCGAGCGAACAGACGAGGAGCUUGCCCCUCUGAUGUUAGCGGCGGACGGGUGAGUAACACGUGGAUAACCUACCUAUAAGAAUGGGAUAACUUCGGGAAACCGGAGCUAAUACCGGAUAACAUGUUGAACCGCAUGGUUCAACAGUGAAAGACGGUCUUGCUGUCACUUAUAGAUGGAUCCGCGCCGCAUUAGCUAGUUGGUAAGGUAACGGCUUACCAAGGCAACGAUGCGUAGCCGACCUGAGAGGGUGAUCGGCCACACUGGAACUGAGACACGGUCCAGACUCCUACGGGAGGCAGCAGUAGGGAAUCUUCCGCAAUGGGCGAAAGCCUGACGGAGCAACGCCGCGUGAGUGAAGAAGGUCUUCGGAUCGUAAAACUCUGUUAUUAGGGAAGAACAAAUGUGUAAGUAACUAUGCACGUCUUGACGGUACCUAAUCAGAAAGCCACGGCUAACUACGUG
Molecule: ribosomal RNA, 497 nt
Filed under: uncultured bacterium
Lineage: Bacteria
Description: partial 16S ribosomal RNA
Rfam family: Bacterial small subunit ribosomal RNA
Source: RNAcentral